GAUGAACGCUGGCGGCGUGCCUAAUACAUGCAAGUCGAGCGAACAGACGAGGAGCUUGCUCCUUUGACGUUAGCGGCGGACGGGUGAGUAACACGUGGGUAACCUACCUAUAAGACUGGGAUAACUUCGGGAAACCGGAGCUAAUACCGGAUAAUAUUUCGAACCGCAUGGUUCGAUAGUGAAAGAUGGCUUUGCUAUCACUUAUAGAUGGACCUGCGCCGUAUUAGCUAGUUGGUAAGGUAACGGCUUACCAAGGCAACGAUACGUAGCCGACCUGAGAGGGUGAUCGGCCACACUGGAACUGAGACACGGUCCAGACUCCUACGGGAGGCAGCAGUAGGGAAUCUUCCGCAAUGGGCGAAAGCCUGACGGAGCAACGCCGCGUGAGUGAUGAAGGUCUUCGGAUCGUAAACUCUGUUAUUAGGGAAGAACAAACGUGUAAGUAACUGUGCACGUCUUGACGGUACCUAAUCAGAAAGCCACGGCUAACUACGUG
Molecule: ribosomal RNA, 496 nt
Filed under: uncultured bacterium
Lineage: Bacteria
Description: partial 16S ribosomal RNA
Rfam family: Bacterial small subunit ribosomal RNA
Source: RNAcentral